CGACCGGCGCACGGGUGAGUAACACGUAUGCAACCUGGCCGUCACAGGUGGAUAACCGGAAGAAAUUCCGACUAAUACAGCAUAACACUCCUGAGGGACAUCCCUUGGGAGUCAAAAGGAGGCAACUCCGGUGACGGAUGGGCAUGCGGCGCAUUAGGUAGUUGGUAGGGUAACGGCCUACCAAGCCGACGAUGCGUAGGGGUUCUGAGAGGAAGGUCCCCCACAUUGGAACUGAGACACGGUCCAAACUCCUACGGAAGGCAGCAG
This 267-nucleotide ribosomal RNA is filed under the name uncultured bacterium. RNAcentral describes it as "partial 16S ribosomal RNA". It matches the Rfam family "Bacterial small subunit ribosomal RNA", at positions 92 to 354 of the family's 1533-position model. The record is from RNAcentral.